This 214-nucleotide unclassified non-coding RNA is filed under the name Hevea brasiliensis (rubber tree). Lineage: Eukaryota; Viridiplantae; Streptophyta; Magnoliopsida; Malpighiales; Euphorbiaceae. The record is from RNAcentral.
GUAUGUCCAAGCUCCUGUUGAUUUUUGGUAAAAUGGAAGGCACAGUUCUAUCACUCCCACAUUGAAAAUUAUUGCCACAAAGCCUUUGUAAUUUGGCUACGUUCUUCAUCUAUUACAAGGAUGUUGUCAGACUAUUAUUCAUUGUUUACUAGAGCUUAAAGCCCAUGUGAAUCUAAUAGCAACGCAUUGUGCAUAAAUGGGGACAAACCAUCGU